RNAcentral lists this long non-coding RNA (488 nucleotides) under Gallus gallus (chicken). Its description in RNAcentral is "long non-coding RNA NONGGAT005659". The record is from RNAcentral. Lineage: Eukaryota; Metazoa; Chordata; Aves; Galliformes; Phasianidae.
AAGAAAGGGAGACAAACUCCCAUACAGCCGAGCAACCCAGCGUCCAACAGCCUCCAGCAGCUGAGGAAGGCCCCCCGCUGCAGUUGGAUCUGUCGUAUUAUUCCUAUGAGUACGACCCGGACCCCUAUGCCUCUGAAGCUGACGUUUUUGAGAUGGUGGCAGAACUGACAACAGUGAGCACAUUCAGAGAAGCGGACACGAUUCAGGAAGUGGUGACCACCAUAGAAUGAAAUAUAUAAUUUAAAUAAGGAGAAGAGGCUCAGAAUCAACUCCCGUAUGAGUUUGUUCCAACAGAUGACCUGCUGCAGAACAGAAACUGAAUGAUGACUACUUCCUGCUGCCCUCAGAACUGUGUAGGCUUUUCUGCCCCGCGGGGAGAACCGGAGAGCAAAGAGGGACGCUCAGCGUUAUUCUUCUGUCAAUUCUUCUGCCUUUUGUGCCACCUCUUAGGAAUGCUUCCGAGGAUGGAAGGCCGAUAUGCUGUGCCC